Molecule: ribosomal RNA, 253 nt
Filed under: uncultured bacterium
Lineage: Bacteria
Description: partial 16S ribosomal RNA
Rfam family: Bacterial small subunit ribosomal RNA
Source: RNAcentral
UACGGGGGGGGCAAGCGUUGUUCGGAAUUACUGGGCGUAAAGGGCUCGUAGGCGGCCAACUAAGUCAGACGUGAAAUCCCUCGGCUUAACCGGGGAACUGCAUCUGAUACUGGAUGGCUUGAGAUUGGGAGAGGGAUGCGGAAUUCCAGGUGUAGCGGUGAAAUGCGUAGAUAUCUGGAGGAACACCGGUGGCGAAGGCGGCAUCCUGGACCGACAUUGACGCUGAGGAGCGAAAGCCAGGGGAGCAAACGGG